AGAUUGAACGCUGGCGGCAUGCCUUACACAUGCAAGUCGAACGGCAGCACGGGAGCAAUCCUGGUGGCGAGUGGCGAACGGGUGAGUAAUACAUCGGAACGUGCCCAAUCGUGGGGGAUAACGCAGCGAAAGCUGUGCCAAUACUGCAUAAGAUCUACGGAUGAAAGCAGGGGAUCGCAAGACCUUGCGCGAAUGGAGCGGCCGAUGGCAGAUUAGGUAGUUGGUGAGGUAAAGGCUCACCAAGCCUUCGAUCUGUAGCUGGUCUGAGAGGACGACCAGCCACACUGGGACUGAGACACGGCCCAGACUCCUACGGGAGGCAGCGAGUGGGGAAUUUGGACAAUGGGCGAAAGCCUGAUCCAGCCAUG
RNAcentral lists this ribosomal RNA (368 nucleotides) under uncultured soil bacterium. RNAcentral's name for it is "bacterial SSU rRNA". It matches the Rfam family "Bacterial small subunit ribosomal RNA", at positions 26 to 396 of the family's 1533-position model. The record is from RNAcentral.